GGGUGCGUAGCUCAGUUGGAUAGAGCACUAGAUUCCGGUUCUAGGUGUCGGGGGUUCGACUCCCUCCGUGCUCG
Molecule: transfer RNA, 74 nt
Filed under: Xenococcus sp. PCC 7305
Lineage: Bacteria; Bacillati; Cyanobacteriota; Cyanophyceae; Pleurocapsales; Xenococcaceae
Also listed under: 1 other name
Rfam family: tRNA
About the family: Transfer RNA (tRNA) molecules are approximately 80 nucleotides in length.
Source: Rfam by way of RNAcentral